Molecule: ribosomal RNA, 467 nt
Filed under: uncultured bacterium
Lineage: Bacteria
Description: partial 16S ribosomal RNA
Rfam family: Bacterial small subunit ribosomal RNA
Source: RNAcentral
ACGAACGCUGGCGGCGUGCUUAACACAUGCAAGUCGAACGGAAAGGCCCUGCUUUUGUGGGGUGCUCGAGUGGCGAACGGGUGAGUAACACGUGAGUAACCUGCCCUUGACUUUGGGAUAACUUCAGGAAACUGGGGCUAAUACCGGAUAGGAGCUCCUGCUGCAUGGUGGGGGUUGGAAAGUUUCGGCGGUUGGGGAUGGACUCGCGGCUUAUCAGCUUGUUGGUGGGGUAGUGGCUUACCAAGGCUUUGACGGGUAGCCGGCCUGAGGGGGUGACCGGCCACAUUGGGGCUGAGAUACGGCCCAGACUCCUACGGGAGGCAGCAGUGGGGAAUAUUGCACAAUGGGCGGAAGCCUGAUGCAGCAACGCCGCGUGCGGGAUGACGGCCUUCGGGUUGUAAACCGCUUUCGCCUGUGACGAAGCGUGAGUGACGGUAAUGGGUAAAGAAGCACCGGCUAACUACGUG